GCCUCCUUGGCAUAGUGGUACUGCGUCUCACUCGUAUUUUCGACAUGAGAAGAUCCUCGGUUCGAUUCCGAGAGGAGGCA
This 80-nucleotide transfer RNA is filed under the name Cryomyces minteri. It matches the Rfam family "tRNA". Rfam says of the family: Transfer RNA (tRNA) molecules are approximately 80 nucleotides in length. Their secondary structure includes four short double-helical elements and three loops (D, anti-codon, and T loops). The record is from Rfam by way of RNAcentral. Lineage: Eukaryota; Fungi; Ascomycota; Dothideomycetes.